CCUUGAUGACGACUGGCGCACGGGUGAGUAACGCGUAUCCAACCUUCCCAUAACUACGGGAUAACCCGUUGAAAGAUGGCCUAAUACCGUAUGAUAUCGUUUGCUGACAUCAAAUAACGAUUAAAGGUUUAGCGGUUAUGGAUGGGGAUGCGUCUGAUUAGCUUGUUGGCGGGGUAACGGCCCACCAAGGCGACGAUCAGUAGGGGUUCUGAGAGGAAGGUCCCCCACAUUGGAACUGAGACACGGUCCAAACUCCUACGGGAGGCAGCAGUC
Molecule: ribosomal RNA, 273 nt
Filed under: uncultured Prevotella sp.
Lineage: Bacteria; Pseudomonadati; Bacteroidota; Bacteroidia; Bacteroidales; Prevotellaceae
Description: partial 16S ribosomal RNA
Rfam family: Bacterial small subunit ribosomal RNA
Source: RNAcentral